GCCCAGUGACAAUCCGUUAAACGGCCGCGGUAUCCUAACCGUAGCAAAGGUAGCAUAAUCACUUGCCCAUUAAUUGUGGGCUAGAAUGAAUGGAUUAACGAAAUUAAUUCUGUCUCUUUUUAUUUUAUACAAAUUAAUAUAUAGGUGAAGAAGCCUGUAUAAGAUUGAAAGACAAGAAGACCCUAUAGAGCUUUAUUUAAAACAAGUUUAAAUAACUUUUAGUAAAUUUGGUUGGGGCGACCCGGGAUUAAAUUUAUCAUCCCAUUAAAAUCGGUGUAUUUACCUUAAUAAAGAUCCUAGUAUUAGAUCAUAAGAAUAAGCUACCUUAGGGAUAACAGGCUAAUCUCAUUUGAAAGUUCUUAUUAAAAAUGAGGUUUGGCACCUCGAUGUUGGCUUAGGAAAUCUAAAUAGCGCAAAAGCUAUGAAAGAUGGUUUGUUCAACCUUUAAUUUCCUACAUGAGCUGAGUUCAGACCGGCGUAAGCCAGGUUAGUUUCUAUCUUCAAUUUUUGAUUAUAAAUAUUCUGUUUACAGUACGAAAGGACCUAAAUUCGAGCAAUAGUUGUAAUAUUUAAUUGAAAUUAUUUAAAAUUAAUUUAGUAAAAUUAAUAUAUAUACUAUACUUAAAUAUAGUGAGUUGGCAGAUUAGUGUAAUUGAUUUAGGAUCAAAAUAUGGAUAGUGUCCACUUACUACUUUAUGCAACUUAGUUUAUUUAGAACUGUCAACUUGCACUUGAUUAGAGAGAUAUUAUCUCAGUAGCAUAGCCAUUCGUUUGGGAAACAGAAGACCUUGAAAGUCUUUAUUAGAGGUUCAACUCCUUUUUUGGCUCUAAUUAGAUGGCAGAAUA
Molecule: ribosomal RNA, 846 nt
Filed under: Moniligastridae sp. Mo_326
Lineage: Eukaryota; Metazoa; Annelida; Clitellata; Moniligastrida; Moniligastridae
Description: partial 16S ribosomal RNA
Rfam family: Bacterial large subunit ribosomal RNA (bases 1-530)
Source: RNAcentral